Molecule: small nuclear RNA, 54 nt
Organism: Salmo trutta (river trout)
Lineage: Eukaryota; Metazoa; Chordata; Actinopteri; Salmoniformes; Salmonidae
Gene: U7
Rfam family: U7 small nuclear RNA
About the family: Animal histone pre-mRNAs are spliced by a different mechanism than nuclear pre-mRNAs and self-splicing introns. This processing involves the U7 snRNP, which contains only one RNA species: U7.
Source: Ensembl
GAAUAUUUGCACUUUUAGAGUUUCUCCAGUAGGUUUCUUGAAGGUGAAACCCUC